UGGGGAAUUUUCCGCAAUGGGCGAAAGCCUGACGGAGCAAUGCCGCGUGGAGGUGGAAGGCCUACGGGUCGUCAACUUCUUUUCUCGGAGAAGAGACAAUGACGGUAUCUGAGGAAUAAGCAUCGGCUAACUCUGUGCCAA
Molecule: ribosomal RNA, 141 nt
Filed under: uncultured bacterium
Lineage: Bacteria
Description: partial 16S rRNA
Rfam family: Bacterial small subunit ribosomal RNA
Source: RNAcentral